This 1282-nucleotide ribosomal RNA is filed under the name metagenome. RNAcentral describes it as "bacterial LSU rRNA". It matches the Rfam family "Bacterial large subunit ribosomal RNA", at positions 1629 to 2899 of the family's 2925-position model. The record is from RNAcentral.
AGUUGAAUGAAGACCGUACCGUAAACCGACACAGGUGGGUAGGAUGAGAAUUCUAAGGCGCUUGAGAGAACUCAGGAGAAGGAACUCGGCAAAAUAGCACCGUAACUUCGGGAAAAGGUGUGCCCUUUGUAUGUGUAGCGCCUCGCGCGUGAAGCAGAAUAGGGUUGCAAUGAAAUGGUGGCUGCGACUGUUUAAUAAAAACAUAGCACUCUGCAAACACGAAAGUGGACGUAUAGAGUGUGACGCCUGCCCGGUGCCGGAAGGUUAAAUGAUGGGGUGCAAGCUCUUGAUUGAAGCCCCGGUAAACGGCGGCCGUAACCAUAACGGUCCUAAGGUAGCGAAAUUCCUUGUCGGGUAAGUUCCGACCUGCACGAAUGGCGUAACGAUGGCCACACUGUCUCCUCCUGGGACUCAGCGAAGUUGAAAUGUUUGUGAAGAUGCAAUCUCCCCGCGGCUAGACGGAAAGACCCCGUGCACCUUUACUGUAGCUUUACAUUGGACUUUGAUAACAUUUGUGUAGGAUAGGUGGGAGGCUUUGAAGUGGAUUCGCCAGAAUUCAUGGAGCCAACGUUGAAAUACCACCCUGAUGUUGUUGAGGUUCUAACCUAGAUCCAUUAUCUGGAUUGGGGACCGUGUAUGGUAGGCAGUUUGACUGGGGCGGUCUCCUCCCAAAUUGUAACGGAGGAGUACGAAGGUACGCUAGGUACGGUCGGAAAUCGUGCUGAUAGCGCAAUGGCAAAAGCGUGCUUGACUGCGAGACUGACAAGUCGAGCAGAUGCGAAAGCAGGUCAUAGUGAUCCGGUGGUUCUGUAUGGAAGGGCCAUCGCUCAACGGAUAAAAGGUACGCCGGGGAUAACAGGCUGAUUCCUCCCAAGAGUUCAUAUCGACGGGGGAGUUUGGCACCUCGAUGUCGGCUCAUCACAUCCUGGGGCUGUAGCCGGUCCCAAGGGUAUGGCUGUUCUCCAUUUAAAGUGGUACGUGAGCUGGGUUUAAAACGUCGUGAGACAGUUUGGUCCCUAUCUGCCGUGGGCGUUGGAAGUUUGAGUGGACCUGCUCCUAGUACGAGAGGACCGGAGUGGACGCACCUCUGGUGUACCGGUUAUGACGCCAGUCGUAUCGCCGGGUAGCUAUGUGCGGAAGAGAUAACCGCUGAAAGCAUCUAAGCGGGAAACUCUCCUCAAGAUGAGACUUCCCGAGGGUUUAACCCUCCUAAAGGUUCGUCGAAGACUACGACGUUGAUAGGUCGGGUGUGGAAGCAUAGUGAUAUGUUAAGCUAACCGAU